AGAGAUGAGAGCCUGGAGCAUUGCAGAUGCCAGGGACUUCACAAAUGAAGGCACCGCAUGGGAAACCUGCGUGGGUUCCAGGGCAGCCCAGCCUGCAGGGGCCCAGGGAGUGGUGCUCAGUACUGGGUGUACGACGGUGAAAAGCCAGUCCUGGGCCCCGCACCCCUCACCGAGCUGGGCCUGGUGAGGUUCCCGGUCCAUGCCGCCUUGGUCUGGGGUCCCGAGAAGAACAAGAUCUACUUCUUCCGAGGCAGGGACUACUGGCGUUUCCACCCCAGCACCCGGCGUGUAGACAGUCCCGUGCCCCGCAGGGCCACUGACUGGCGAGGGGUGCCCUCUGAGAUCGACGCUGCUUUCCAGGAUGCUGAUG
RNAcentral lists this small RNA (370 nucleotides) under Pongo abelii (Sumatran orangutan). RNAcentral describes it as "processed transcript". The record is from RNAcentral. Lineage: Eukaryota; Metazoa; Chordata; Mammalia; Primates; Hominidae.